This 880-nucleotide ribosomal RNA is filed under the name uncultured bacterium. RNAcentral's name for it is "bacterial SSU rRNA". It matches the Rfam family "Bacterial small subunit ribosomal RNA", at positions 19 to 916 of the family's 1533-position model. The record is from RNAcentral.
AUGGCUCAGGAUGAACGCUGGCGGCGUGCCUAAUACAUGUAAGUCGAACGGAGGAUUUAGCAAUAGAUUCUUAGUGGCGAACGGGUGAGUAACGCGUUGGUGACCUGCCCCGAAGAGCGGGAUAACAGAUCGAAAGGUCUGCUAAUACCGCAUGUGGUCAUCAGGGUUAGAGGCCUGAUGACUGAAGGAGCAAUCCGCUUCGGGAGGGGCCUGCGUCCCAUCAGCUAGUUGGUAGGGUAAUGGCCUACCAAGGCGAAGACGGGUAGGGGACCUGAGAGGGUGAUCCCCCACACUGGCACUGAAACACGGGCCAGACACCUACGGGUGGCAGCAGUAGGGAAUAUUGCACAAUGGGCGAAAGCCUGAUGCAGCAACGCCGCGUGCGCGAUGAAGGCCUUCGGGUCGUAAAGCGCUUUUCGGGGAGACGAGAAAGGACGGUAUCCCCGGAAUAAGGCUCGGCUAACUACGUGCCAGCAGCCGCGGUAAAACGUAGGAGCCAAGCGUUAUCCGAAUUCACUGGGCGUAAAGCGCGUGCAGGCGGCUCGGUAAGUUGGAUGUGAAAGCUCCCGGCUCAACUGGGAGAGGACGUUCAAUACUGUCGGGCUAGAGGACGGCAGAGGAAGGUGGAAUUCCCGGUGUAGUGGUGAAAUGCGUAGAUAUCGGGAGGAACACCAGUGGCGAAGGCGGCCUUCUGGGCCGUUCCUGACGCUCAGACGCGAAAGCUAGGGGAGCGAACGGGAUUAGACACCCCGGUAGUCCUAGCUGUAAACGAUGUAGACUGGGUGUUGGUGGGUUAAAAGCCACCAGUGCCGAAGCCGACGCGAUAAGUCUACCGCCUGGGGACUACGGCCGCAAGGUUAAAACUCAAAGGAAUUGACGG